GAUGAACGCUGGCGGCGUGCCUAAUACAUGCAAGUCGAGCGAACGGACGAGAAGCUUGCUUUUCUGAUGUUAGCGGCGGACGGGUGAGUAACACGUGGAUAACCUACCUAUAAGACUGGGAUAACUUCGGGAAACCGGAGCUAAUACCGGAUAAUAUUUUGAACCGCAUGGUUCAAAAGUGAAAGACGGUCUUGCUGUCACUUAUAGAUGGAUCCGCGCUGCAUUAGCUAGUUGGUAAGGUAACGGCUUACCAAGGCAACGAUGCAUAGCCGACCUGAGAGGGUGAUCGGCCACGCUGGAACUGAGACACGGUCCAGACUCCUACGGGAGGCAGCAGUAGGGAAUCUUCCGCAAUGGGCGAAAGCCUGACGGAGCAACGCCGCGUGAGUGAUGAAGGUCUUCGGAUCGUAAAACUCUGUUAUUAGGGAAGAACAUAUGUGUAAGUGACUGUGCACAUCUUGACGGUACCUAAUCAGAAAGCCACGGCUAACUACGUG
This 497-nucleotide ribosomal RNA is filed under the name uncultured bacterium. RNAcentral describes it as "partial 16S ribosomal RNA". It matches the Rfam family "Bacterial small subunit ribosomal RNA", at positions 28 to 507 of the family's 1533-position model. The record is from RNAcentral.